CGGGACACGUGGUAUCCUGUCUGAAUAUGGGGGGACCAUCCUCCAAGGCUAAAUACUCCUGACUGACCGAUAGUGAACCAGUACCGUGAGGGAAAGGCGAAAAGAACCCCGGCGAGGGGAGUGAAAAAGAACCUGAAACCGUGUACGUACAAGCAGUGGGAGCCUCUUUAUGGGGUGACUGCGUACCUUUUGUAUAAUGGGUCAGCGACUUAUAUUCUGUAGCAAGGUUAACCGAAUAGGGGAGCCGAAGGGAAACCGAGUCUUAACUGGGCGUUAAGUUGCAGGGUAUAGACCCGAAACCCGGUGAUCUAGCCAUGGGCAGGUUGAAGGUUGGGUAACACUAACUGGAGGACCGAACCGACUAAUGUUGAAAAAUUAGCGGAUGACUUGUGGCUGGGGGUGAAAGGCCAAUCAAACCGGGAGAUAGCUGGUUCUCCCCGAAAGCUAUUUAGGUAGCGCCUCGUGAAUUCAUCUCCGGGGGUAGAGCACUGUUUCGGCAAGGGGGUCAUCCCGACUUACCAACCCGAUGCAAACUGCGAAUACCGGAGAAUGUUAUCACGGGAGACACACGGCGGGUGCUAACGUCCGUCGUGAAGAGGGAAACAACCCAGACCGCCAGCUAAGGUCCCAAAGUCAUGGUUAAGUGGGAAACGAUGUGGGAAGGCCCAGACAGCCAGGAUGUUGGCUUAGAAGCAGCCAUCAUUUAAAGAAAGCGUAAUAGCUCACUGGUCGAGUCGGCCUGCGCGGAAGAUGUAACGGGGCUAAACCAUGCACCGAAGCUGCGGCAGCGACACUAUGUGUUGUUGGGUAGGGGAGCGUUCUGUAAGCCUGCGAAGGUGUACUGUGAGGUAUGCUGGAGGUAUCAGAAGUGCGAAUGCUGACAUAAGUAACGAUAAAGCGGGUGAAAAGCCCGCUCGCCGGAAGACCAAGGGUUCCUGUCCAACGUUAAUCGGGGCAGGGUGAGUCGACCCCUAAGGCGAGGCCGAAAGGCGUAGUCGAUGGGAAACAGGUUAAUAUUCCUGUACU
RNAcentral lists this ribosomal RNA (1026 nucleotides) under Escherichia coli. RNAcentral describes it as "partial 23S ribosomal RNA". It matches the Rfam family "Bacterial large subunit ribosomal RNA", at positions 418 to 1445 of the family's 2925-position model. Lineage: Bacteria; Pseudomonadati; Pseudomonadota; Gammaproteobacteria; Enterobacterales; Enterobacteriaceae. The record is from RNAcentral.